CCUACGGGGGGCUGCAGUGGGGAAUAUUGGACAAUGGGGGGAACCCUGAUCCAGCCAUGCCGCGUGUGUGAAGAAGGCCCUCGGGUUGUAAAGCACUUUCAGUGAGGAAGAACGCCUGGUGGUUAAUACCCAUCAGGAAAGACAUCACUCACAGAAGAAGCACCGGCUAACUCCGUGCCAGCAGCCGCGGUAAUACGGAGGGUGCGAGCGUUAAUCGGAAUUACUGGGCGUAAAGCGCGCGUAGGUGGCUUGAUAAGCCGGUUGUGAAAGCCCCGGGCUCAACCUGGGAACGGCAUCCGGAACUGUCAAGCUAGAGUGCAGGAGAGGAAGGUAGAAUUCCCGGUGUAGCGGUGAAAUGCGUAGAGAUCGGGAGGAAUAGCAGUGGCGAAGGCGGCCUUCUGGACUGACACUGACACUGAGGUGCGAAAGCGUGGGUAGCAAACAGGAUUAGAUACCCCAGUAGUC
Molecule: ribosomal RNA, 465 nt
Filed under: Vreelandella stevensii
Lineage: Bacteria; Pseudomonadati; Pseudomonadota; Gammaproteobacteria; Oceanospirillales; Halomonadaceae
Description: partial 16S ribosomal RNA
Rfam family: Bacterial small subunit ribosomal RNA
Source: RNAcentral